Molecule: long non-coding RNA, 994 nt
Organism: Portunus trituberculatus (swimming crab)
Lineage: Eukaryota; Metazoa; Arthropoda; Malacostraca; Decapoda; Portunidae
Exons: 2
Source: RefSeq, a predicted model, not a curated record
AGAGAGAGAGAGAGAGAGAGAGAGAGAGAGAGAGAGAGAGAGAGAGAGAGAGAGAGAGAGAGAGAGAGAGAGAGAGAGAGAACAAAACAGUCAGAUCCAUGAAGAGGAGUUCCGAGUGGGGGUUAGGAACAAGUUGGGCACAAAACCUGUUCUUGUACCAGUAGAUAGAGACUUAGUGGUUAGUAAUGCAUGUUUUGUACCAACCCUUCCUUCCUUCCUUCCUUCCUUCCUUCCUUCCUUCCUUCCUUCCUUCCUUCCUUCCUUCCUUCCUUCCUUCCUUCCUUCCUUCCUCUCUUUCUUUUCUUCCUUCCUUUCCUUUCUUCCUGUCUUUCUUUCAUUCUUCCUUUCUUCCUUCAUUCAUUCCCAGUGUUUUAAGUUAUAUUGUUAUACUGAUGCUGUUAAUGAUGGGCUGUCUGGCUCAAACGACUACAGUGACGACUACUACUACUACUACUACUACUACUACUACUACUACUACUACUACUACUACUACUACUACUACUACAUGCCAGACAGUUUCAGACGUUAAACAGAAAAUGAUAAUUUUUGUGUAUAUUUAUUUUUUAUAUGAGUUUUUAAAAAGUUGAGUACCAUUUUGUGAAGAGUAGGAGGAGGAGGAAGAAGAAGAAGAAGAAGAAGAAGAAGAAGAAGAUGAUUUCCUCCUCCCUGUCUUGACAUUCCAUCUUAUUUUCAUUCUUAUUAUUAUUGUUAUUAUUAUUAUUAUUAUUAUUAUUAUUAUUAUUAUUAUUUAUAUUGGUCAUUGUUUCCAUGUCUUGUGUCUCCUCCUUCUCCUCCUCCUCCUUCUCCUCCUCCUCCUCCUCCUCCUCCUCCUCCUCCUCCUCCUCCUCCUCCUCCUCCUCCUCCUCCUUCUUUUCUUCUAUAUUCCACUCAUUUAUUCUAUCAUUCAUUUAAUCAUUAUUCAUUAUUUUGUACAUCCUCUUCCUCCUCUUCCCAAUACAAUCGUGUAGAGUUUUGUAAUAAAGUGAAAUGUUGU